GGACUACACGGGUAUCUAAUCCUGUUUGCUCCCCACGCUUUCGCGCCUCAGCGUCAGAAACGGUCCAGAUGGCCGCCUUCGCCACCGGUGUUCUUCCCAAUAUCUACGAAUUUCACCUCUACACUGGGAAUUCCACCAUCCUCUCCCGUCCUCAAGCCGCCCAGUCCCAAGUGCAAUUCCGGGGUUGAGCCCCGGGCUUUCACACCUGACUUAGACAGCCGCCUACGCGCCCUUUACGCCCAGUAAUUCCGAACAACGCUAGCCCCCUUCGUAUUACCGCGGCUGCUGGCAC
RNAcentral lists this ribosomal RNA (292 nucleotides) under uncultured bacterium. RNAcentral's name for it is "partial 16S ribosomal RNA". The record is from RNAcentral.